This 253-nucleotide ribosomal RNA is filed under the name uncultured bacterium. RNAcentral's name for it is "partial 16S ribosomal RNA". It matches the Rfam family "Bacterial small subunit ribosomal RNA", at positions 524 to 776 of the family's 1533-position model. The record is from RNAcentral.
UACGGAGGGAGCGAACGUUGUUCGGAUUUACUGGGCGUAAAGCGUGUGUAGGCGGCUUGGCAAGUUGGAUGUGAAAGCCCACGGCUCAACCGUGGAAGCGCACCCAAAACUGCUUCGCUCGAGUCUCGGAGAGGAAGGUGGAAUGCUUGGUGUAGAGGUGAAAUUCGUAGAUAUCAAGCAGAACACCUGCGGCGAAGGCGGCCUUCUGGACGAUGACUGACGCUGAGACACGAAAGCGUGGGGAGCAAACAGG